This 469-nucleotide ribosomal RNA is filed under the name uncultured Fischerella sp. RNAcentral's name for it is "bacterial SSU rRNA". It matches the Rfam family "Bacterial small subunit ribosomal RNA", at positions 20 to 524 of the family's 1533-position model. The record is from RNAcentral. Lineage: Bacteria; Bacillati; Cyanobacteriota; Cyanophyceae; Nostocales; Hapalosiphonaceae.
UGGCUCAGGAUGAACGCUGGCGGUAUGCUUAACACAUGCAAGUCGAACGGGCUCCUUAGGGAGCUAGUGGCGGACGGGUGAGUAACGCGUGAGAAUCUAGCUUCAGGUUCGGGACAACAUUGGGAAACCGAUGCUAAUACCGGAUGUGCCGAGAGGUGAAAGCUUUAGCGCCUGAAGAUGAGCUCGCGUCUGAUUAGCUAGUUGGUGGGGUAAGAGCCUACCAAGGCGACGAUCAGUAGCUGGUCUGAGAGGAUGAUCAGCCACACUGGGACUGAGACACGGCCCAGACUCCUACGGGAGGCAGCAGUGGGGAAUUUUCCGCAAUGGGCGAAAGCCUGACGGAGCAAUACCGCGUGAGGGAGGAAGGGCCCUUGGGGUUGUAAACCUCUUUUGAUCAGGGAAGAAGGGACUGACGGGUACUGAUCGAAAUCAGCAUCGGGCUAAACUCCGUGCCAGCCGCCGCAGUAAG